GGGUUGUGAGGUUAAGCGACUAAGCGUACACGGUGGAUGCCCUGGCAGUCAGAGGCGAUGAAGGACGUGCUAAUCUGCGAAAAGCGUCGGUAAGGUGAUAUGAACCGUUAUAACCGGCGAUGUCCGAAUGGGGAAACCCAGUGCAAUUCGUUGCACUAUCGUUAACUGAAUACAUAGGUUAACGAGGC
RNAcentral lists this ribosomal RNA (188 nucleotides) under Klebsiella pneumoniae. RNAcentral's name for it is "partial 23S ribosomal RNA". It matches the Rfam family "Bacterial large subunit ribosomal RNA", at positions 1 to 180 of the family's 2925-position model. The record is from RNAcentral. Lineage: Bacteria; Pseudomonadati; Pseudomonadota; Gammaproteobacteria; Enterobacterales; Enterobacteriaceae.